This 255-nucleotide ribosomal RNA is filed under the name Klebsiella pneumoniae. RNAcentral's name for it is "partial 23S ribosomal RNA". It matches the Rfam family "Bacterial large subunit ribosomal RNA", at positions 1649 to 1888 of the family's 2925-position model. Lineage: Bacteria; Pseudomonadati; Pseudomonadota; Gammaproteobacteria; Enterobacterales; Enterobacteriaceae. The record is from RNAcentral.
CAAACCGACACAGGUGGUCAGGUAGAGAAUACCAAGGCGCUUGAGAGAACUCGGGUGAAGGAACUAGGCAAAAUGGUGCCGUAACUUCGGGAGAAGGCACGCUGGUGUGUAGGUGAAGUCCCUGCGGGUGGAGCUGAGACCAGUCGAAGAUACCAGCUGGCUGCAACUGUUUAUUAAAAACACAGCACUGUGCAAACACGAAAGUGGACGUAUACGGUGUGACGCCUGCCCGGUGCCGGAAGGUUAAUUGAUGGG